Molecule: ribosomal RNA, 443 nt
Filed under: uncultured bacterium
Lineage: Bacteria
Description: partial 16S ribosomal RNA
Rfam family: Bacterial small subunit ribosomal RNA
Source: RNAcentral
CCUACGGGUGGCAGCAGUGGGGAAUAUUGGGCAAUGGGCGCAAGCCUGACCCAGCAACGCCGCGUGAAGGAAGACGGCUUUCGGGUUGUAAACUUCUUUUCUCAGGGACGAAGAAAGUGCCGGUACCGGAGGAAUAAGCCACGGCUAAAUACGGGCCAGCAGCAGCGGUAAUACGGAGGUCGCAGUCGUUAUCCGGAUUUAUUGGGUGUCAAGGGCGUCUAGGCGGGAUCGCAAGUCAGAUGGGAAAACUCAGGGCCUAAACCUGAGCCUGCAUUUGAAACUGUGUUACUUGAGUGCUGGAGAGGCACUCGGAAUUCGGGGUGUAGCGGUGAAAUGCGUAGAUAUACGGAGGAACACCAGUGGCGAAGGCGGAUUACUGGACAGUAACUGACGCUGAGGCGCGAAAGCGUGGGGAGCAAACAGGAUUAGAUACCCCUGUAGUC